UUUUUGCGUUAGGGAUUGCAGUGAAAAGCCCACAGCGAAUGUAAUGAGCGAGGACUUGUAACGAAAAGCCCGACGGCGC
RNAcentral lists this unclassified non-coding RNA (79 nucleotides) under Pustulibacterium marinum. RNAcentral's name for it is "Flavo-1 RNA". The record is from RNAcentral. Lineage: Bacteria; Pseudomonadati; Bacteroidota; Flavobacteriia; Flavobacteriales; Flavobacteriaceae.